UACGUAGGGGGCUAGCGUUGUCCGGAAUCAUUGGGCGUAAAGAGCUCGUAGGCGGUCUGUCGCGUCGGAUGUGAAAAUCCAGGGCUCAACCCUGGACCUGCAUUCGAUACGGGCAGACUAGAGUUCGGUAGGGGAGACUGGAAUUCCUGGUGUAGCGGUGAAAUGCGCAGAUAUCAGGAGGAACACCGGUGGCGAAGGCGGGACUCUGGGCCGAUACUGACGCUGAGGAGCGAAAGCGUGGGGAGCGAACAGG
RNAcentral lists this ribosomal RNA (253 nucleotides) under uncultured bacterium. RNAcentral's name for it is "partial 16S ribosomal RNA". It matches the Rfam family "Bacterial small subunit ribosomal RNA", at positions 524 to 776 of the family's 1533-position model. The record is from RNAcentral.